Molecule: non-coding RNA, 148 nt
Organism: Nemania sp. FL0916
Lineage: Eukaryota; Fungi; Ascomycota; Sordariomycetes; Xylariales; Xylariaceae
Source: the annotation of a GenBank genome assembly
GGUUGGUUAGCUCAGUUGGUUAGAGCGUCGUAUGUCUCCUCCCAGCACUCAAUUAUUCGGCACCCGCUAACCCGCCCCAGGUACUAAUACAGGAUCACACUUGUAUCAGGUAAUGCGAAGGUCAUGAGUUCGACCCUCAUACUGACCA